UCUUUGAACCCACUUCUUUCCAGUCAGUUGAAAGUACCGUCCCGCUUGACUCCACCUAUACAAGUGCAUCCCCGAAGUGGAAUAUAUAAUAUCAUCCAUUAGAACCAAUAAUCCAAAUUAUUUCCUUAUUGCUAAUGAAAUUACUAUCUUUCAGCUAUUGCUAACUUCUACAAAAUCAAAACUGCUCAAAAGAAGAGAAGGACGCCAGAGGAUAGAAAACCUCCCCUUCCAUGGGAUGGGAUAGGAUAAUUCAGUCUGUUGACUGAAUAAACCAAGUGGAGGAAAGAAAAUAAGUAAAAAGCGGCUGGCACACAAUAAAAAGCAACUGAAAGAACAAAUAAAAAUAGGCCCACCCUACUGUCAAAAUCAUAUCGUGCAAAUGCAAACAAGCUGUUUGGAAUCUUACAAAAGAUUUGGUCAUAGCCCUUCUCAUGUCGUCAUCUGCAUUUUGGUAAAUGUCCCUGAAUAACUUGUUCAAAGCUGCAUCACCAUCUAGCUUCUCAUCUCUUUCCUGAAAUCCAGACCAUCAUAGCAUCAACAGAAUAUAUAAAAAAAAAAAGACCUCUCAAGUAGUCAAAGAAACCAAUAUAAAACAACUAUUGUUAGAUGAACCACCUCGCUCUUCACUUGGGCUUCCAACUUAUCCCAAUCUUUUGCUCUUGAUUUUGAAGAUGGAUAUGAAGGCCUUCGAGAUCCAACUGUAUGUUCAUAAAUGUGAAGCAAACUGAUUAGCCAUAAAGCAUUAAGCAUUCUGUUGUCUACACAACAUAAAUUUUUGUUGUUGAUGAGCUUCUCACUAAAAAAAUAAGAAUUCAUAUGGUCAACUUCAAUUAUAUUGGAAUUCAGACUGUUUCUGCUUUGGGGAAACCAUUUCCAAUGGAUGCAACUAAAUUGAUGAACCAUGCUGAAUCAAGAACGCCAGCCAGUAUGAGCAUUUGGCCUACCUGAUGACACAUUUAUUUUCUGCGGGACUAUAAUUCCCUUGCAGUAUUCAAGAGAUGUCCAGUUAAUAACUUCAGCUUUUGCAAGAUGGAUUUCAAUCUUGGUUGACAAUACUUGAUAUUUGCUCCUAUCAGGUAAUAUAUAUGAGAAGCUACUAACAUACUUUUCCAAACAAUUGAGGUUGAAAAUGAUAUGUAUCUUCACCAGGGACAUUGAUGGUAACACUGAGAAUUUGUUCACCAAAAUCAACUGUGACAUUUUCUGCUGGAAUGCCCUUUGCAAAAAUUGUUAAAACCACUUCCUCUGGCUUCUGGUAGUAUUCAUGUCUGUAUUUUGGUUUUUCUGAAGAGAUUGUUUCAUUCUUACAGGAACCAACAGAUGCAGGUGUAGCACUCAGUGGAACAUUUGGUGCCAAGGACUUCCUUUGAUCAUAAAACUCCUCUGCUAUGUGCAGAUCACAUUCUUUGAUCAACUUGGUAAAUCUGGAAUCAUCUGGAGCCAAAGAUGCACCGAUUUCAAGGGCUCUCUUGGCUGUAUGAUAUUCUUCAAGCUUCAUACAGGCAGUACCUUUACGCAAAUAUGCCUUGGCAAUCGAAGAAGCCAACUCAAUAGCCUUGUUAGCAUCAGCAACGGCCUCAGUGAAGUUAUUGAGUUUAAUAUAGGCCUGAGCUCGGUCGGCGAAGUAAUCAGCGUUGGUGGGGUCCAAUUCGAUGGCUUUGGAAUAUAAAUCCAAGGCCAGUUCGAAAUCAUCAUCGAUGAUUGCUUCUUUUGCCUUCUCAGCCAACUCGCUGGCCAUUGUUGAAGCUUGGGCUAAGAGAAUAGAGUGUAGUGAGGAUUGAGAGUGAUUUGAGACUAUCCAACAAGAAAAGGGAGAGAAAGCUAUGUAGGGAAAAAUUGGAUAUUGCUCGACUUCUAGAGACUUCAGUGGAACGGCUGUAGCCUGUAGACGAUGAGGUCUAUGAUUUCGG
RNAcentral lists this unclassified non-coding RNA (1910 nucleotides) under Hevea brasiliensis (rubber tree). Lineage: Eukaryota; Viridiplantae; Streptophyta; Magnoliopsida; Malpighiales; Euphorbiaceae. The record is from RNAcentral.